GCAUACGGUUGAUUCGUCCCGAUGCCGGAAGCUGGCGGACAUAGAGAAAGGGAACUGAGCAGAAAAAGUACACUGGUUGGGUGGCGAAGC
This 90-nucleotide non-coding RNA is filed under the name unclassified sequences. The record is from Rfam.